AGGCCAUACCCCCCUGCACUGUGCUGUCCUGGCCCACAACGCCCUGCUGCGGGAGCAGGGGCACCCAGGGGUGACGAAGGAGCAGCAGGAAGGUCUCCAGCACCAGAGCGAGGAGCUGGAGAGCUGCAUCCAGCUCCUGGUGCAGGCGGGAGCCUCCAUCUACAGCCGGGUAGGGAAUCGCUUCUGUCUGUCCCUCAGUCACCCCCGUGCUGUUCAUUUGUACGAACUCUGACACUCGUGCUGCACUCAAAAUAUCAAAUUGGAGGAGAAUGGACUGCUGGCAGAAGGAGCAAACCUGUUUCCCUUGCAAGGAGCUGGUUGCAGAGUCAGCUCCUGCCUUUUGGGGUUGCUUCCCCGCAGCCUGAGCCAAAGGCUGGGGAUUUGGGUGGGUGCUGCAGGGAAGGAGGCGCCUCGGUGCUGCCCCUGAGCUGCAGAGCUGGCCUGGAGGCCUUUCUGCUGGGUUUACAUAAUGGCUUUAAGUUGUUCCGCAGGACGUUCAUUGUGCUUUGUUUCGCUGUCUGUAAUUAGGACGUGAAAAGCAACAAGACAGUUCUGCAUUACACAGUCCAGGAUGCCAACAUCUCCCUGCUUAGGUACUUCCUGGAGCUGAACGCUUUCAAAUCCAGGGAUUUUGUCAACAGCAAGGUGAGUCAGGAGCUGCCUGGACGGGGUCUGUGUGCCAGUGUCUGGGCAGAGGAGGUGCUGAGGGCACCAAGCUGCCUGCAGUGGGAGGCUGCAAGCACGUGGAGCCAUUGGGGGAUCUUUGGGGUCCUGCAGAAACCAGACACUCUCUUCCUGUACUCAUUUUUCUAGAGGGAAAAGAACAACAGCUCGUGCUUCUGAGCUUUUUUUUUUUUUUAGUGCCCUGAAACUGCAUUUUCCAGUCAAUAGGCACCUCACCUGGAAAUGUGCUUGAAUUGCCGUGAAACGCAGGCACCUCUGCCAGCAGCAAGAGCUGGCAGAAGGAGAGCAGUGGGAAGUGGUUACUCGAGAAGGAACGCGAACUUCAUUAUGCUAGGCUGAGAAAACAGAUCUGCAGUGAUGCAAUGGCCUGCUGCUGGCAGCAAAACAACACCGAGGGACGGCUGGUGAGGGCUGUGCAUCGGGGACCUCUCCUCUCGGAGGGGCCAUAAGCAGCGAGCGGGCAGUGCCUUUGCUUUGCAUUUCAAGAAUUUCGCAGGCUCAGCCUUGCAGUCCCCGGAGCAUCCACAGGCCUGUGUCCAACAGAGAGGAAUCAAACAUUUGCUGCUGACACAGUUUUUACUGGGAAGCAAAAACUGGGCAGCUUCACAUUUUUUUUUCCCCCUACAGAUUUCUGUUGGGCUGGAGGAGAGGAAACAUGUUUUGCUUUGUGUGGGGGUAAUUGCUCUGGGGUUUUGCUUUUCUGCGAGGUGAAAGGCCUUGCGCUGUCUUUCACUACAUUCCUGCUGUAUCUCUGAAGACCCUCUAGGCAGGUGCUAUCUUGUCCGUGGGAGGCUGCUCUUGUCUCUUGAUCGCAGUCCUGUGAGAGCUCCCUGCUGCGAUAGCA
This 1528-nucleotide long non-coding RNA is filed under the name Anas platyrhynchos platyrhynchos (common mallard). Its description in RNAcentral is "lncRNA (ENSAPLG00000023776.1)". Lineage: Eukaryota; Metazoa; Chordata; Aves; Anseriformes; Anatidae. The record is from RNAcentral.